RNAcentral lists this ribosomal RNA (484 nucleotides) under uncultured bacterium. Its description in RNAcentral is "partial 16S ribosomal RNA". It matches the Rfam family "Bacterial small subunit ribosomal RNA", at positions 30 to 507 of the family's 1533-position model. The record is from RNAcentral.
AUUGAACGCUGGCGGCAGGCCUAACACAUGCAAGUCGAGCGGAUGAAGGGAGCUUGCUCCUGGAUUCAGCGGCGGACGGGUGAGUAAUGCCUAGGAAUCUGCCUGGUAGUGGGGGAUAACGUCCGGAAACGGGCGCUAAUACCGCAUACGUCCUGAGGGAGAAAGUGGGGGAUCUUCGGACCUCACGCUAUCAGAUGAGCCUAGGUCGGAUUAGCUAGUUGGUGGGGUAAAGGCCUACCAAGGCGACGAUCCGUAACUGGUCUGAGAGGAUGAUCAGCCACACUGGAACUGAGACACGGUCCAGACUCCUACGGGAGGCAGCAGUGGGGAAUAUUGGACAAUGGGCGAAAGCCUGAUCCAACCAUGCCGCGUGUGUGAAGAAGGUCUUCGGAUUGUAAAGCACUUUAAGUUGGGAGGAAGGGCAGUAGGUUAAUACCUUGCUGUUUUGACGUUACCAACAGAAUAAGCACCGGCUAACUUCGUG